Molecule: long non-coding RNA, 893 nt
Organism: Pezoporus occidentalis (night parrot)
Lineage: Eukaryota; Metazoa; Chordata; Aves; Psittaciformes; Psittacidae
Exons: 2
Source: RefSeq, a predicted model, not a curated record
CUUACUCAAGUGGUUUCCCGGACUGGGAGAAAAGGCAGAAUUAUGCAAUACCGUCGGGUAGCUGUUUGCUCACUGGUGGUCACCUCAAGGCUCAGGGGAUGGCACUAACAGUCCUACUUGCUGCCCAUCCCUGAGAGAACCUCAGUGACUGCGGGUAAGCUCCACUGCUUUCCACUGAAGUUUUCCCAGCUCUUGGGAACAGAAGGGAGCUGUCCUGGUCAUCCAGCACACAUCUCCUGGACAGCUCAGGUGUUUGCUUUGAAAGAGAUUUUUCUCUCCCCUGCCAGUAUGCUCAGAAAAUAGAGUGGCACCAAUUUCAGGACCUGCAGUUCAAAUUCCUGACUUCUCAGUCAGAGGCUGUGAAUCAUCUUCUUCUAGUGAUAAGCAGGUCAUUCAGCCUUGCGGCUUCUGCUCACAACCUGACCAUGAGCUAACUGAAGUCAAGGGAGUUUCUCCCCUGGUUCUGAACUGGACCUACACAGCUACUUACAGACUGAAAAACCAGUGCCCUGUGGAAGUACAAAGUCUUUUGUGUUAGCUUUUUCAUCUCUUCUUCUAAUGAAAAUAACUUGCAGUUUGGGGUGCACAGAGAUCAUUCCAGUGGCAAAAGCUGGGUUUCUUCUUCCUUUCUUCCAUGAGCAGAGUGAGAUCAUCCAGAGUGAGAAAAUGCACUACAAGAAGCUCUGAGUUAGCCAAAUAAUGAUGCUUGUGCUGGUUUGUGCUGCCUUCCAAGGCAGUGCAUAGGCAAAGCCCAAAGAGCAGCAAUUCAAAUCAGAUACCAAUUUGACUUCAGUGUAAAUGUGUCUGUCAUAUUGACUGCUGGAGCACUUAAGUAUGGACUUAAAAUUAAGUCUAUGCUUAUGCAAUGUCCUGAAUAAAACCACUUUCCUGCA